AGUUUCAUAUUUUUUGUCACAGGUUGAGAGGUCAGACUAUCAACUAAACCAUGAAGAAAUGUGGAGAUUGUUCUCUAAAGGUAUGAAAUUUGGAGAUUUUCUCCAUCGUCGUCAUGCUAUUUUCAAAUCUCUUUUUCCCCAUCUCCUUCGUGUCCUUUUGUGAAACAAUGAGGAAUGGGAAGGUCAAUAUUUCAUCUCCACUAUCUGAUGUGAAUUUCUAGAAUGCAUAUAUGGAAGGAAUAUGAAGAUUUGAAGUUGACAUCUCGAAGAAGUAGUUAAAGCUGCAGGAAAUGACCAUACUUUGGGUUUUGUUACCAGUGGAUCUGCUCCAUUGCAUGGUGCUACUCAGACAAGUGCCUCACCCUGGUCUUCAGCAUCAAUGAUAUUUCCUCCAGCCCUAGGCAUGCCUUUAAAUGCUGAAUGGAAUGGCUGCAUGAUCAAGUUGUGGAAAAGUUUACUUGCAUACCAUCUCCAAGGAUCUGGCACAUCUAAUAGUUUCACUUUGGUUCUUCAGCAGUUUCUUUCGAAAUUGCUCAUUACACUUCUGGGGUGAGUACGAACUACAGAAAGUUUUUGUUUUUGGUUAAGUUAAAAUAUGUAUUUAUCGGAAUCAUGGAAGUUCAAGUUCAUGUUUCGAGAUUCUACAAGACUAAUUUUAUUGUUUUAUCUAUUUAUUAUGAAUU
This is an RNA transcript of Coffea arabica (coffee), 683 nucleotides long. RefSeq lists it as uncharacterized. The record is from RefSeq and is a predicted model, not a curated record. Lineage: Eukaryota; Viridiplantae; Streptophyta; Magnoliopsida; Gentianales; Rubiaceae.